RNAcentral lists this ribosomal RNA (453 nucleotides) under Grotea anguina. RNAcentral describes it as "partial 28S ribosomal RNA". Lineage: Eukaryota; Metazoa; Arthropoda; Insecta; Hymenoptera; Ichneumonidae. The record is from RNAcentral.
CCUGCGAAACCCGAAAGAUCGAACGGGGAGAUUCAUCGUCAGCGGUAUCCGGUGUCUGUGCGGUUCGCGAUGCCGGGGACCUCGGUCCCUCGGCACGCGUCCGUGCGGUACAUCACGACCGGGUAUCGUCGGCGUGCACUUCUCCCCAAGUAGGACGUCGCGACCCGUUGGGUGUCGGUCUACGGCCCGGGUGGGCGCCUGGCACGCGUCGCGCCUCACGGCGCGUUCGCGGGUCAGACCCCCGGUGUUGCCUGACCGGCUGCCCGGCGGUACUCGCACGGUAUCGAGCCGCAGGCUUCGAAACUGCGUUCGGCCCGCCGCAAGCUAGACCAGUGAUACCCGGAUGUACGGAUCUGAUGCCGUCGCCGGGCCUGGUCGGCUGUUGGUCGGCGGUGUUCUCGGACUGGCUCUGAAUACCGGUCGGCGACGCUACUGCUUUGGGUACUCUCAGGA